GACGAACGCUGGCGGCGUGCCUAAUACAUGCAAGUCGAGCGAAGUUUUUCUGGUGCUUGCACUAGAAAAACUUAGCGGCGCACGGGUGAGUAACACGUAAAGAACCUGCCUCAUAGACUGGGACAACUAUUGGAAACGAUAGCUAAUACCGGAUAACAGUAUUUCUCGCAUGAGAGAUAUUUAAAAGUUGGUUAUGCUAACACUAUGAGAUGGCUUUGCGGUGCAUUAGCUAGUUGGUGGGGUAAAGGCCCACCAAGGCGACGAUGCAUAGCCGACCUGAGAGGGUGAUCGGCCACACCGGGACUGAGACACGGCCCAGACUCCUACGGGAGGCAGCAGUAGGGAAUCUUCCGCAAUGGGCGAAAGCCUGACGGAGCAACGCCGCGUGAGUGAAGAAGGAUUUCGGUUCGUAAAGCUCUGUUGUUAGGGAAGAAUGGAUAUGUAGUAACUAUACAUGUAAGAGACGGUACCUAACCAGAAAGCCACGGCUAACUACGUG
Molecule: ribosomal RNA, 499 nt
Filed under: uncultured bacterium
Lineage: Bacteria
Description: partial 16S ribosomal RNA
Rfam family: Bacterial small subunit ribosomal RNA
Source: RNAcentral